AGUCGUAACAAGGUUUCCGUAGGUGAACCUGCGGAAGGAUCAUUAGUGAAUAUAGGACGUCCAACUUAACUUGGAGUCCGAACUCUCACUUUCUAACCCUGUGCACUUGUUUGGGAUAGUAACUCUCGCAAGAGAGCGAACUCCUAUUCACUUAUAAACACAAAGUCUAUGAAUGUAUUAAAUUUUAUAACAAAAUAAAACUUUCAACAACGGAUCUCUUGGCUCUCGCAUCGAUGAAGAACGCAGCGAAAUGCGAUAAGUAAUGUGAAUUGCAGAAUUCAGUGAAUCAUCGAAUCUUUGAACGCACCUUGCGCUCCAUGGUAUUCCGUGGAGCAUGCCUGUUUGAGUGUCAUGAAUACUUCAACCCUCCUCUUUCUUAAUGAUUGAAGAGGUGUUUGGUUUCUGAGCGCUGCUGGCCUUUACGGUCUAGCUCGUUCGUAAUGCAUUAGCAUCCGCAAUCGAACUUCGGAUUGACUUGGCGUAAUAGACUAUUCGCUGAGGAAUUCUAGUCUUCGGAUUAGAGCCGGGUUGGGUUAAAGGAAGCUUCUAAUCAGAAUGUCUACAUUUUAAGAUUAGAUCUCAAAUCAGGUAGGACUACCCGCUGAACUUAAGCAUAUCAUAAAAGUCG
This 628-nucleotide ribosomal RNA is filed under the name uncultured fungus. RNAcentral's name for it is "eukaryotic LSU rRNA". The stretch from base 199 to 352 matches the Rfam family "5.8S ribosomal RNA". The record is from RNAcentral. Lineage: Eukaryota; Fungi.